CACUCUAGACGAACUGCCGUUGACAAAACGGAGGAAGUGGGGAGUGACGUCAAUCAUCAUGCCCCUUAUGUUCUGGGCUACACACGUGCUACAAUGGCCGGUACAGACGGAGGCGAAGCCGCGAGGCGGAGCAAAUCCGAAAAAGCCGGUCUCAGUUCGGAUUGCAGGCUGCAACUCGCCUGCAUGAAGUCGGAAUCGCUAGUAAUCGCAGGUCAGCAUACUGCGGUGAAUACGUUCCCGGGCCUU
Molecule: ribosomal RNA, 246 nt
Filed under: uncultured Pelotomaculum sp.
Lineage: Bacteria; Bacillati; Bacillota; Clostridia; Eubacteriales; Desulfotomaculaceae
Description: partial 16S ribosomal RNA
Rfam family: Bacterial small subunit ribosomal RNA
Source: RNAcentral